RNAcentral lists this ribosomal RNA (450 nucleotides) under uncultured bacterium. RNAcentral describes it as "bacterial SSU rRNA". It matches the Rfam family "Bacterial small subunit ribosomal RNA", at positions 29 to 524 of the family's 1533-position model. The record is from RNAcentral.
AACGAACGCUGGCGGCAUGCCUAACACAUGCAAGUCGAACGAGACCUUCGGGUCUAGUGGCGCACGGGUGCGUAACGCGUGGGAACCUGCCUUUAGGUUCGGAAUAACUCAGAGAAAUUUGAGCUAAUACCGGAUAAUGUCUUCGGACCAAAGAUUUAUCGCCUUUAGAUGGGCCCGCGUAAGAUUAGCUAGUUGGUGGGUAAAGGCCUACCAAGGCGACGAUCUUUAGCUGGUCUGAGAGGAUGAUCAGCCACACUGGGACUGAGACACGGCCCAGACUCCUACGGGAGGCGGCAGUGGGGAAUAUUGGACAAUGGGCGAAAGCCUGAUCCAGCAAUGCCGCGUGAGUGAUGAAGGCCUUAGGGUUGUAAAAGCUCUUUUACCCGAGAUGAUAAUGACAGUACCGGGAGAAUAAGCUCCGGCUAACUCCGUGCCAGCAGCCGCGGUAAU